RNAcentral lists this ribosomal RNA (258 nucleotides) under uncultured bacterium. Its description in RNAcentral is "partial 16S ribosomal RNA". It matches the Rfam family "Bacterial small subunit ribosomal RNA", at positions 96 to 353 of the family's 1533-position model. The record is from RNAcentral.
UGGCGGACGGGUGAGGUAAUGUCUGGGAAACUGCCUGAUGGAGGGGGAGUAACUACUGGAAACGGUAGCUAAUACCGCAUAACGUCGCAAGACCAAAGAGGGGGACCUUCGGGCCUCUUGCCAUCGGAUGUGCCCAGAUGGGAUUAGCUAGUAGGUGGGGUAACGGCUCACCUAGGUGACGAUCCCUAGCUGGUCUGAGAGGACGACCAGCCACACUGGAACUGAGACACGGUCCAGACUCCUACGGGAGGCAGCAUG